GGCUAUAGCUCAGCUGGGAGAGCGCUUGCAUGGCAUGCAAGAGGUCAGCGGUUCGAUCCCGCUUAGCU
This 68-nucleotide transfer RNA is filed under the name Escherichia coli. Its description in RNAcentral is "tRNA-Ala". It matches the Rfam family "tRNA". From Rfam's summary of the family: Transfer RNA (tRNA) molecules are approximately 80 nucleotides in length. Their secondary structure includes four short double-helical elements and three loops (D, anti-codon, and T loops). RNAcentral also lists the same sequence under 15 other names. Lineage: Bacteria; Pseudomonadati; Pseudomonadota; Gammaproteobacteria; Enterobacterales; Enterobacteriaceae. The record is from RNAcentral.